Taeniopygia guttata (zebra finch) is the source of this 1087-nucleotide non-coding RNA. The record is from RefSeq and is a predicted model, not a curated record. Lineage: Eukaryota; Metazoa; Chordata; Aves; Passeriformes; Estrildidae.
UGGGGACACCCCUGGGGACAGCCCUGGGGACACCCCUGGGGACACUGCUGGGGACAACAGCGGGGACACCCCUGGGGACACUCCUGGGGACAGCCCUGGGGACAGCCCUGGGGACACUGCUGGGGACAACCCCGCGGACCCUUGCUGCCCACGCCGGCGGCAGGAGGGAGGCGUGUGAGGCUCAGCGGUGCGAGAUGCUGGGAGUGAUUCCUGGGAUCCGCGGCUGCCCGGACAGGUGGACAAGGAAUCCUUGCGAUUUGCUGGUUUGGCAGCUCAGCGCCAGAGAGAGGCAGCGAGAGCCUGAACCAGGGCCCACUGCCUAAGUACAAAUUUGGAGAAGCUGCUUCCUGCAAGUAUCCAGAAGAGAAGGAUCAAGGAAAUGGAUGUGUUCUUGCCUCAACACAUUCCACCUGUACUUUGUUCCAGCCUCGCCCCUUUGCUCAUGUAGCAGGAUGCUCUGCCUAACUGGGGGUAAAACAGCUCAAACUUGACCCUAUUUGCAAAAAUUAUCAAUAUUUGAUGGGGAAGGGGCCUCAUGCUGUGUUUGGUGUUGAAGAAUCAGCCUGAUCCAUCAGUCCCAAAGUGAAACAUUCUGAGGAUGUGAAGAACAUUACCUGAUGGAAACUGGCACUGGUGACAAUGUGCCAGGUGAAGUUGCCAUUAGAGGCGCCAUCAAGUGAUAAUGCUGAUAACUUAUCUCAAGCUGCUGAGGUGAUGCUGCAGGCCCAGAGACAUCUGGCUGUGAAUCACCUUGUAGCACAAAAGCCCAGCCCCUCUUUUUAAUUGCAGGGAAUUCUAACACACCACUUCUCAGAGUGACUGUGGCUAUUCCACCCUUUAAUGGAGAUGCCCCUGAAGGCUACUCCUCAAGGCUGAGCAGAAGAGAUUUGCCCUCGAUUGUUGGUAUGGAUAACAUCAAUCUCUGUUUAGUAAUUGUUUUGCUGACUUUAAUAUUAUUCCUUCAGUAUUCAAUAAAUUGUGCACUAUACUAGUAGUUAUACUGUCUUCACUGUGUAGUAACAAAUUCUGAUUAAGAUCCUUUGUCUAAGCAUUUUUAUUAUUAAAUAAAACAAAUAAUUCUUCUGUA